This 257-nucleotide ribosomal RNA is filed under the name Klebsiella pneumoniae. RNAcentral describes it as "partial 23S ribosomal RNA". It matches the Rfam family "Bacterial large subunit ribosomal RNA", at positions 1416 to 1668 of the family's 2925-position model. Lineage: Bacteria; Pseudomonadati; Pseudomonadota; Gammaproteobacteria; Enterobacterales; Enterobacteriaceae. The record is from RNAcentral.
CGAUGGACAACAGGUUGAUAUUCCUGUACCACCUCUUUAUCGUUUGAGCAAUGGAGGGACGCAGAAGGAUAGAAGAAGCGUGCGAUUGGUUGUGCACGUCCAAGCAGUUAGGCUGAUAAGUAGGCAAAUCCGCUUAUCGCGUAGGCUGAGCUGUGAUGGGGAAGCUCCUUAUGGAGCGAAGUCUUUGAUUCCCCGCUGCCAAGAAAAGCUUCUAGCGAGAUAAAAGGUGCCUGUACCGCAAACCGACACAGGUAGGC